GGGGGCGGAUCGGUCCUGGUGGGCCGCCCGGGCUUCAAACCCGGUUGAGCCGUAGUGAUCCUGCGGUUGGUGUGUUCGAUUCGCACACGCUCCCGCCA
This 98-nucleotide transfer RNA is filed under the name Syntrophomonadaceae bacterium. RNAcentral's name for it is "tRNA-Sec". It matches the Rfam family "Selenocysteine transfer RNA". The record is from RNAcentral. Lineage: Bacteria; Bacillati; Bacillota; Clostridia; Eubacteriales; Syntrophomonadaceae.